UAUGGUCAAGCUACUAAGGGCCGGCGGUGGAUGCCUUGGCAUCGGGAGGCGAUGAAGGACGUGGUAAGCUGCGAUAAGCCUCGGGGAGCCGCAAACAGGCUUUGAUCCGGGGAUCUCCGAAUGGGGCAACCCGCCACGCGUUAUGGCGUGGCAUCUGCAACUGAAUCCAUAGGUUGCAGAGGCGAACCAGGGGAAGUGAAACAUCUCAGUACCCUGAGGAAAAGAAAGCAACAGCGAUUCCCAAAGUAGCGGCGAGCGAAAUGGGAGCAGCCCAAACCGGAGGGCUUGCCCUCCGGGGUUGUGGGACCGCGACGUGGGACGUAGACGGCUAGCGGAACAGGCUGGAAAGCCUGGCCAGAGAAGGUGAUAGCCCUGUACGCGAAAGCCUGAAGCGCCCUAGCGGGAUCCCGAGUACCACGGGACACGUGAAACCCUGUGGGAAUCUGGGAGGACCAUCUCCCAAGGCUAAAUACUACCCGAUGACCGAUAGUGAACCAGUACCGUGAGGGAAAGGUGAAAAGUACCCCGGUGAGGGGAGUGAAAUAGUACCUGAAACCGUCGGCCUACAAGCGGUCGGAGUUCCGCCUCGGCGGAAUGACGGCGUGCCUUUUGCAUAAUGAGUCAGCGAGUUACUCUCUGUGGCGAGGUUAAGCCGCGAGGUGGAGCCGUAGCGAAAGCGAGUCUGAACAGGGCGUCCAGUCGCAGGGAGUAGACCCGAAGCCGGGUGAUCUAUCCAUGGCCAGGGUGAAGGUGGAGUAACAUCCACUGAAGGCCCGAACCAAUAUCGGUUGAAAACGGUUUGGAUGAGCUGUGGAUAGGAGUGAAAGGCUAAUCAAACUCGGUGAUAGCUGGUUCUCCCCGAAAUAUAUUGAGGUAUAGCCUCGGAUGCUGAGCAACGGAGGUAGAGCACUGGAAGGGCUAGGGGCCCCACCAGGUUACCAAACCUUACCAAACUCCGAAUGCCGUUGUGUGUAGUCCGGGAGUCAGUCCGCGGGUGAUAAGAUCCGCGGUCGAGAGGGAAACAACCCAGACCGCCAGCUAAGGCCCCCAAAUAUGCGCUAAGUGGUAAAGGUGGUGGGAACGCUCUGACAACCAGGAGGUUGGCUUAGAAGCAGCCACCCUUUAAAGAAAGCGUAACAGCUCACUGGUCAAGUGGGCCUGCGCCGAAAAUUCAGCGGGGCUCAAGCGCAUUGCCGAAGCUGCGGGAUUCGCCACACUCCGGUGUGACGGAUCGGUAGGGGAGCAUUCCAGUCGCCUGUGAAGGUCGGCCGCGAGGCCGGCUGGAGGUCCUGGAAGGGCGUAUGCUGACACGAGUAGCGAAAAAGCGGGUGAGAAUCCCGCUCGCCGAAAGCCUAAGGUUUCCUGAGUAAAGCUCGUCUUCUCAGGGUUAGUCGGCCCCUAAGCCGAGGCCGAAAGGCGUAGGUGAUGGGAAACAGGUUAAUAUUCCUGUACCUCCAGCGUGGCGUUUGAGCGAAGGGGGGACGGAGAAGGGUAGGCCAUCCGGGCGCUGGUUGUCCCGGUUCAAGGCCGUAGGCGGAGGCUCCAGGCAAAUCCGGAGCCUCGUUAACGCCGAGAGCUGAUGACGUGGCCCUUUUGGGCCGUAAGUGGCUGAUCCCAUGCUUCCAAGAAAAGCCUCGUAGCGAGUCGCGUUGGAGACCGUACCGCAAACCGACACAGGUAGGCAGGGUGAGAAUCCUAAGGCGCGUGAGAUAACCCUGGUUAAGGAACUCGGCAAAAUGGCCCCGUAACUUCGGGAGAAGGGGUGCCCACGUCAGGUGAAGGCCCUCGCGGCCGGAGCCGAGGUGGGUCGCAGUGAAAUGGGGGUGGCGACUGUUUACUAAAAACAUAGGACUCUGCGAAGCCGAAAGGCGAUGUAUAGGGUCUGACGCCUGCCCGGUGCCGGAAGGUUAAGGGGAUGUGUUAGCUUUCGGGCGAAGCACUGAACCGAAGCCCCGGUAAACGGCGGCCGUAACUAUAACGGUCCUAAGGUAGCGAAAUUCCUUGUCGGGUAAGUUCCGACCUGCACGAAUGGCGUAACGACUGCCCCACUGUCUCGACCAGGGACUCAGUGAAACUGUAGUAUCGGUGAAGAUGCCGAUUACCCGCGGCUAGACGGAAAGACCCCGUGAACCUUUACUACAGCUUGGCAUUGGGUUUUGGGAUAGCUUGUGUAGGAUAGGUGGGAGACUGUGAAGCCACGCCGCCAGGUGUGGUGGAGUCGCCCUUGAAAUACCACCCUGGCUAUUCUAGGAUCCUAACCUCGGCCCGUCAUCCGGGUCAGGGACAGUGCCUGGCGGGUAGUUUGACUGGGGCGGUCGCCUCCCAAAAGGUAACGGAGGCGCGCGAAGGUUCCCUCAGGCUGAUUGGAAACCAGCCGAAGAGUGCAAAGGCAUAAGGGAGCUUGACUGCGAGACCCACAAGUCGAGCAGGUGCGAAAGCAGGCCUUAGUGAUCCGGUGGUCCCGCAUGGAAGGGCCAUCGCUCAUCGGACAAAAGGUACUCCGGGGAUAACAGGCUGAUCUUCCCCAAGAGUUCACAUCGACGGGAAGGUUUGGCACCUCGAUGUCGGCUCAUCGCAUCCUGGGGCUGAAGCAGGUCCCAAGGGUUUGGCUGUUCGCCAAUUAAAGCGGUACGCGAGCUGGGUUUAAAACGUCGUGAGACAGUUUGGUCCCUAUCUACCGCGGGCGCAGGAGAUUUGAGGGGAGCUGUCCCUAGUACGAGAGGACCGGGAUGGACGAACCUACGGUGUUCCAGUUAUCACGCCAGUGGUAUCGCUGGGUAGCCGUGUUCGGAUGGGAUAACCGCUGAAAGCAUCUAAGUGGGAAGCCCACCCCAAGAUGAGAUCUCCCGGGCGUAAGCCCCUGAAGCCCCCUCGGAGAACACGAGGUUGAUAGGUCGGAGGUGUAAGGCUGGUGACAGCCUGAGCCGACCGAUACUAAUCGGGCGUGAGGCUUGACCAU
Molecule: ribosomal RNA, 2959 nt
Filed under: Dissulfurirhabdus thermomarina
Lineage: Bacteria; Pseudomonadati; Thermodesulfobacteriota; Dissulfuribacteria; Dissulfuribacterales; Dissulfuribacteraceae
Description: 23S ribosomal RNA
Rfam family: Bacterial large subunit ribosomal RNA
Source: RNAcentral